This 68-nucleotide transfer RNA is filed under the name Promirotermes sp. A TB-2017. Its description in RNAcentral is "tRNA-Cys". The record is from RNAcentral. Lineage: Eukaryota; Metazoa; Arthropoda; Insecta; Blattodea; Termitidae.
AGCCUUGUAUUCAUUUUGUGAUUAUAGAAUGCAAUUCUAUAGGGGUGGUCGAAGGACUUCCAAGGCCU